AGUCGCCACGGUAAUACAGAGGGUGCAAGCGUUAAUCGGAAUUACUGGGCGUAAAGCGCGCGUAGGUGGUUUGUUAAGUUGGAUGUGAAAUCCCCGGGCUCAACCUGGGAACUGCAUCCAAAACUGGCAAGCUAGAGUAUGGUAGAGGGUGGUGGAAUUUCCUGUGUAGCGGUGAAAUGCGUAGAUAUAGGAAGGAACACCAGUGGCGAAGGCGACCACCUGGACUGAUACUGACACUGAGGUGCGAAAGCGUGGGGAGCAAACAGGAUUAGAGACCCCGGUAGUCCCUGUCUCUUAUACA
RNAcentral lists this ribosomal RNA (301 nucleotides) under uncultured bacterium. RNAcentral's name for it is "partial 16S ribosomal RNA". It matches the Rfam family "Bacterial small subunit ribosomal RNA", at positions 510 to 808 of the family's 1533-position model. The record is from RNAcentral.